GCGAACGUAGCUCAGUUGGUAGAGCACCACCUUGCCAAGGUGGAUGUCGCGAGUUCGAGUCUCGUCGUUCGCUCCA
RNAcentral lists this transfer RNA (76 nucleotides) under Isoptericola haloaureus. RNAcentral describes it as "tRNA-Gly". It matches the Rfam family "tRNA". From Rfam's summary of the family: Transfer RNA (tRNA) molecules are approximately 80 nucleotides in length. The record is from RNAcentral. Lineage: Bacteria; Bacillati; Actinomycetota; Actinomycetes; Micrococcales; Promicromonosporaceae. RNAcentral also lists the same sequence under 4 other names.